Molecule: ribosomal RNA, 800 nt
Filed under: Staphylococcus warneri
Lineage: Bacteria; Bacillati; Bacillota; Bacilli; Caryophanales; Staphylococcaceae
Description: bacterial SSU rRNA
Rfam family: Bacterial small subunit ribosomal RNA
Source: RNAcentral
CAGUCGAGCGAACAGAUAAGGAGCUUGCUCCUUUGACGUUAGCGGCGGACGGGUGAGUAACACGUGGAUAACCUACCUAUAAGACUGGGAUAACUUCGGGAAACCGGAGCUAAUACCGGAUAACAUAUUGAACCGCAUGGUUCAAUAGUGAAAGGCGGCUUUGCUGUCACUUAUAGAUGGAUCCGCGCCGUAUUAGCUAGUUGGUAAGGUAACGGCUUACCAAGGCAACGAUACGUAGCCGACCUGAGAGGGUGAUCGGCCACACUGGAACUGAAACACGGUCCAAACUCCUACGGGAGGCAGCAGUAGGGAAUCUUCCGCAAUGGGCGAAAGCCUGACGGAGCAACGCCGCGUGAGUGAUGAAGGUCUUCGGAUCGUAAAACUCUGUUAUCAGGGAAGAACAAAUGUGUAAGUAACUGUGCACAUCUUGACGGUACCUGAUCAGAAAGCCACGGCUAACUACGUGCCAGCAGCCGCGGUAAUACGUAGGUGGCAAGCGUUAUCCGGAAUUAUUGGGCGUAAAGCGCGCGUAGGCGGUUUUUUAAGUCUGAUGUGAAAGCCCACGGCUCAACCGUGGAGGGUCAUUGGAAACUGGAAAACUUGAGUGCAGAAGAGGAAAGUGGAAUUCCAUGUGUAGCGGUGAAAUGCGCAGAGAUAUGGAGGAACACCAGUGGCGAAGGCGACUCUCUGGUCUGUAACUGACGCUGAUGUGCGAAAGCGUGGGGAUCAAACAGGAUUAGAUACCCUGGUAGUCCACGCCGUAAACGAUGAGUGCUAAGUGUUAGGGGGUUUCCGCCCCU